CUGGAUUCGCUAGUAAUCGCGCAUCAGCCAUGGCGCGGUGAAUACGUUCCCGGGUCUUGUACACACCGCCCGUCACACCACGAGAGUUUGUAACACCCGAAGUCGGUGAGGUAACCUUUUAGGAGCCAGCCGCCUAAGGUGGGAUAGAUGAUUGGGGUGAAGUCGUAACAAGGUAGCCGUAUCGGAAGGUGCGGCUGGAUCACCUCCUUUCUAAGGAG
RNAcentral lists this ribosomal RNA (218 nucleotides) under Prevotella sp. OH937_COT-195. RNAcentral describes it as "partial 16S ribosomal RNA". It matches the Rfam family "Bacterial small subunit ribosomal RNA", at positions 1326 to 1533 of the family's 1533-position model. The record is from RNAcentral. Lineage: Bacteria; Pseudomonadati; Bacteroidota; Bacteroidia; Bacteroidales; Prevotellaceae.